GAAAGUACCAAGCACGUGCUGCUGUCAAACAAAAGAAGACGGGAGGCUUAAGCAAUCGGCAGAAAGAACACAAGAAGGCGAUGCCAUUAGCUGCGAAACGAUCUAAAGUUGCAAAAUCUCGAGUUGACAAGAAGAAGAAGAAUCAACGUUCAGGCAAACAGUUUAGAGGGAAGAAAGCCUGGAAACAGUGAAGACUGAAGACAACCAAUUUUGAUAAAUU
This 220-nucleotide unclassified non-coding RNA is filed under the name Hevea brasiliensis (rubber tree). Lineage: Eukaryota; Viridiplantae; Streptophyta; Magnoliopsida; Malpighiales; Euphorbiaceae. The record is from RNAcentral.